RNAcentral lists this transfer RNA (75 nucleotides) under Cordylochernes scorpioides. RNAcentral describes it as "tRNA-Thr". It matches the Rfam family "tRNA". From Rfam's summary of the family: Transfer RNA (tRNA) molecules are approximately 80 nucleotides in length. Lineage: Eukaryota; Metazoa; Arthropoda; Arachnida; Pseudoscorpiones; Chernetidae. The record is from RNAcentral.
GUCCAGGGUAGCCUAGUGGACAUGGCAUCUGCCCGGUAAGCGGAACAUUGUGGGUUCGUUUCCCAUCCCCGGACA